This 29-nucleotide non-coding RNA is filed under the name Mus musculus (house mouse). The record is from RNAcentral. Lineage: Eukaryota; Metazoa; Chordata; Mammalia; Rodentia; Muridae.
UCUCAGGAAGACAGGUUCAGCCUUUCAGU